GUCCCCUUCGUCUAGAGGCCCAGGACCUCGCCCUUUCACGGCGGUAACAGGGGUUCGAAUCCCCUAGGGGACGCCA
Molecule: transfer RNA, 76 nt
Filed under: Arsenophonus sp.
Lineage: Bacteria; Pseudomonadati; Pseudomonadota; Gammaproteobacteria; Enterobacterales; Morganellaceae
Description: tRNA-Glu
Rfam family: tRNA
About the family: Transfer RNA (tRNA) molecules are approximately 80 nucleotides in length.
Source: RNAcentral